CCCUUAGAUGUUCUGGGCCGCACACGCGCUACACUGGCAGGUUCAUCGAGCUUCAUGCCCUGAUCUGAGAAGAACGGGAAAUCUUUGAACACCUGCCGUGCUUAGGAUAGAUGUUUGCAAUUAUUCAUCUUCAACGAGGAUUGCCUUGUAAGCGCACGUCAUCAGCGUGCAUUGAAUACGACCCUGUAUUCUGUACACACCGCCCGUCGCUCCUACCGAUUGAAGUUUUCGGUGAAUUUACUGGAGAUCCCUUUUGAAGGUGGUUCGCCACUGGAAGAAGUAUUCAAAAGUAAAUGAAUCGAAUGCUUUAGAGGAAGGAGAAGUCGUAACA
RNAcentral lists this ribosomal RNA (331 nucleotides) under uncultured eukaryote. RNAcentral describes it as "partial 18S ribosomal RNA". It matches the Rfam family "Eukaryotic small subunit ribosomal RNA", at positions 1470 to 1796 of the family's 1831-position model. The record is from RNAcentral.